Molecule: transfer RNA, 63 nt
Filed under: Arctopsyche spinescens
Lineage: Eukaryota; Metazoa; Arthropoda; Insecta; Trichoptera; Hydropsychidae
Description: tRNA-Ser
Source: RNAcentral
GAAAUAUAUCAAUCAUUAAACUUCUAAUUUAAUUAAUAGUGAAUAAAACUCAUUAAUAUUUCA